Molecule: long non-coding RNA, 257 nt
Filed under: Elaeis guineensis (African oil palm)
Lineage: Eukaryota; Viridiplantae; Streptophyta; Magnoliopsida; Arecales; Arecaceae
Description: long non-coding RNA (EGUI_LNC016266)
Source: RNAcentral
UUUUUGUUUUUCUCUCUUUACCACCUCGACCUACACUCUUCCUCACUCUACCCAUUCUCAUUUUUCUUUUUCUCCUUCCUAUUUUUCCAUUAUACAAACAGUUUUCAUCCAUACCUUAUCCAUUUUGAUAGUAAUGAGUGGGGUAACAAGAAAAGGUGAACCAGUCAUAUGACAUAGCACAGUAGUCUCCUUGGCACCCAUGACAGCAAAAAUUAAGUAAAUAAUCGAUCGUCUAUUUUGCGCCAAUAUCUGAGGUU